CCGGAUUUAUUGGGUUUAAAGGGUGCGUAGGCGGCCUUGUAAGUCAGCGGUGAAAUUUUGCAGCUUAACUGUAAAAGCGCCGUUGAUACUGUGAGGCUAGGAUUUGGUUGCUGUGGGCGGAAUGUGUGGUGUAGCGGUGAAAUGCUUAGAGAUCACACAGAAUAUCGAUUGCGAAGGCAGCUCACAAAGCCAAGAUUGACGCUGAGGCACGAAAGUGUGGGGAUCAAACAGGAUUAGAUACCCUGGUAGUCCACACUGUAAACGAUGAUAACUCGCUGUCGGCGAUAGACCGUCGGUGGCCAAGCGAAAGCGAUAAGUUAUCCACCUGGGGAGUACGACCGCAAGGUUGAAACUCAAAGGAAUUGACGGGGGCCCGCACAAGCGGAGGAACAUGUGGUUUAAUUCGAUGAUACGCGAGGAACCUUACCCGGGCUCGAACGGUGCAUGAACGUUCAAGAGAUUGGACAGUCCUUCGGGACAUGUAUCGAGGUGCUGCAUGGUUGUCGUCAGCUCGUGCCGUGAGGUGUCGGCUUAAGUGCCAUAACGAGCGCAACCCUUGUCAUUAGUUACCAUCAGGUCAAGCUGGGGACUCUAGUGAGACUGCCACCGUAAGUGUGAGGAAGGGGGGGAUGACGUCAAAUCAGCACGGCCCUUUAUGUCCGGGCGACACACGUGUUACAAUGGGGAGGUACAGAGAGCAGCCAGUUAGUGAUAACGCGCCAAUCUCAAAAACCUUUCUCAGUUCGGAUUGGAGUCUGCAACUCGACUCCAUGAAGUUGGAUUCGCUAGUAAUCGCGCAUCAGC
This 804-nucleotide ribosomal RNA is filed under the name uncultured bacterium. Its description in RNAcentral is "bacterial SSU rRNA". It matches the Rfam family "Bacterial small subunit ribosomal RNA", at positions 545 to 1353 of the family's 1533-position model. The record is from RNAcentral.